RNAcentral lists this ribosomal RNA (495 nucleotides) under uncultured bacterium. RNAcentral's name for it is "partial 16S ribosomal RNA". It matches the Rfam family "Bacterial small subunit ribosomal RNA", at positions 28 to 507 of the family's 1533-position model. The record is from RNAcentral.
GACGAACGCUGGCGGCGUGCCUAAUACAUGCAAGUAGAACGCUGAAGGAGGAGCUUGCUUCUCUGGAUGAGUUGCGAACGGGUGAGUAACGCGUAGGUAACCUGCCUUGUAGCGGGGGAUAACUAUUGGAAACGAUAGCUAAUACCGCAUAAGAGUAGAUGUUGCAUGACAUUUGCUUAAAAUGUGCAAUUUCAUCACUACCAGAUGGACCUGCGUUGUAUUAGCUAGUUGGUGAGGUAACGGCUCACCAAGGCAACGAUACAGAGCCGAACCGAGGAGGGGAUCGGGCAACACUGGAACGAGAAAACGCUCAGACCCCUAAGGGAAGGCGCAGUAGGGAAAUUUUGGACAUGGGCGGCAGUCUGGCCGAGCAACGACGGGUGAGUGAAGAAGGGUUUCGGAUUGUAAAGCUCUGUUGUAAGAGAAGAAAGAGUGUGAGGGUGGAAAGUUCACACUGUGACGGUAUCUUAACAGAAAGGGACGGCUAACUACGUG